CCUACGGGAGGCUGCAGUGGGGAAUAUUGGACAAUGGGCGAAAGCCUGAUCCAGCCAUGCCGCGUGUGUGAAGAAGGCCUUCGGGUUGUAAAGCACUUUCAGUGGGGAAGAAAGCCUUGGGGCUAAUACCCUCGAGGAAGGACAUCACCCACAGAAGAAGCACCGGCUAACUCCGUGCCAGCAGCCACGGUAAUACGGAGGGUGCGAGCGUUAAUCGGAAUUACUGGGCGUAAAGCGCGCGUAGGCGGUCUGAUAAGCCGGUUGUGAAAGCCCCGGGCUCAACCUGGGAACGGCAUCCGGAACUGGCAGGCUAGAGUGCAGGAGAGGGAGGUAGAAUUCCCGGUGUAGCGGUGAAAUGCGUAGAGAUCGGGAGGAAUACCAGUGGCGAAGGCGGCCUUCUGGACUGACACUGACGCUGAGGUGCGAAAGCGUGGGUAGCAAACAGGAUUAGAUACCCUGGUAGUC
Molecule: ribosomal RNA, 465 nt
Filed under: Vreelandella stevensii
Lineage: Bacteria; Pseudomonadati; Pseudomonadota; Gammaproteobacteria; Oceanospirillales; Halomonadaceae
Description: partial 16S ribosomal RNA
Rfam family: Bacterial small subunit ribosomal RNA
Source: RNAcentral